UUGGAGGAAUGUAUAGCGAAAGCUACUUGCAUUUAGCUUAGUUAAUAAAUGCAGGAUUGACUAUGUCGAAUAAAGUUCUAGGUGGGUUAUGAUGAUGACAUUUCCUAUCUAUGUGUCUUGACCAAAUUACGUGCCAGCAGUCGCGGUAACACGUAAUAGACUAGUGUUAUUCAUCUUUAAUAGGUUUAAAGGGUACCUAGACGGUAAAUCAAGUCCAAGAAGGGUACUAAUUUGCUAGAGUUUAAUGUGAGGGGGCACUAAAGUACUGAUAAGUGUAGAGAUGAAAUUCUGUGAUACAAUAUAUGGCACUGGCAAAGGCGAAAGCAUCUCAUUAUGUAAUAACUGACGUUGAGGGACGAAGGCUAGGUGUAGCAAAAAGGAUUAGAUACCCAAGUAGUCUUAGCAGAAAAUUAUGAAUGUCAUAGGAUGGAAAGUUGGAUGGAUAAACAACAAAACUUUUUCUAUAAAUGAAAGUGUAAGCAUUCCACCUCGAGAGUAAUUUGGCAACAUUGGAACUGAAAUCAUUAGACCGUUUCUGAAACAAGUAGUGAAGUAUGUUGUUUAAUUUGAUGGUCCGCAAAAAACCUUACCACAAUUUGAAUAGAAAUUUUUGUUUCGUACAAGCGCUGCACGGUUGUCUUCAGUUAAUGUCGUGAGAUCUUGGUUAGUUCCAUUAAAUUAACGUAAACCCUUACUUUAUUUUUAUAUAGAGUAGUUCACCGCUAGAUUGGAUGUGAUAACAGGGACUAAGACAAGUCAUCAUGGCCUUAAUAUUGUGGG
Molecule: ribosomal RNA, 780 nt
Filed under: Anaptychia ciliaris
Lineage: Eukaryota; Fungi; Ascomycota; Lecanoromycetes; Caliciales; Physciaceae
Description: SSU rRNA
Rfam family: Bacterial small subunit ribosomal RNA
Source: RNAcentral